RNAcentral lists this ribosomal RNA (301 nucleotides) under uncultured bacterium. RNAcentral describes it as "partial 16S ribosomal RNA". It matches the Rfam family "Bacterial small subunit ribosomal RNA", at positions 509 to 807 of the family's 1533-position model. The record is from RNAcentral.
CAGUAGCCGCGGGAAUACGAAGGGGGCUAGCGUUGUUCGGAUUUACUGGGCGUAAAGCGCACGUAGGCGGACUUUUAAGUCAGGGGUGAAAUCCCGGGGCUCAACCCCGGAACUGCCUUUGAUACUGGAAGUCUUGAGUAUGGUAGAGGUGAGUGGAAUUCCGAGUGUAGAGGUGAAAUUCGUAGAUAUUCGGAGGAACACCAGUGGCGAAGGCGGCUCACUGGACCAUUACUGACGCUGAGGUGCGAAAGCGCGGGGAGCAAACAGGAUUAGAUACCCGCGUAGUCCCUGUCUCUUAUAC